UUGUGGUUAAAAGGCUCGUAGUUGGAUUUCGGCGGGUAGUGAUUGGUUUGAAUUGAUUCAACACUGACUUUUUUACCCGUGUGUUUUGCCAGAAUCUUACGGGUGAUCUUUACCGAUUGUCCGUUGGAACUGGCAGGUUUACUUUGAAAAAAUUAGAGUGCUCAAAGCAAGCUUACUGCUUGAAUAGUUGCGCAUGGAAUAAUAGAAUAGGAAGUCGUUUCUAUUUUGUUGGUUUUCGGAAAUCGACUUAAUGAUUAAUAGGGAUAGUCGGGGGCAUUCGUAUUCAAACGACAGAGGUGAAAUUCUCCGAUUUGUUAAAGACUAACUUAUGCGAAAGCAUUUGCCAAGGAUGUUUUCAUUAAUCAAGAACGAAAGUUAGGGGAUCAAAGACGAUCAGAUACCCGUCCUAGUCUUAACCAUAAACUAUGCCGACUCGGGAUCGGAGGCCCGCAAUAUCGGCCUUCGGCCUCCGUAUGAGAAAAUAAGUCUUUGGGUUCUGGGGGGAGUAU
This 509-nucleotide ribosomal RNA is filed under the name uncultured eukaryote. RNAcentral describes it as "bacterial SSU rRNA". It matches the Rfam family "Eukaryotic small subunit ribosomal RNA", at positions 613 to 1126 of the family's 1831-position model. The record is from RNAcentral.